AUACGGAGGAUCCGAGCGUUAUCCGGAUUUAUUGGGUUUAAAGGGUGCGCAGGCGGGAGAUUAAGUCGGCGGUGAAAUUUUGCAGCUCAACUGUAAAAGUGCCUUCGAAACUGGUUUCCUUGAGUGUAGAUGAAGUAGGCGGAAUUUGUGGUGUAGCGGUGAAAUGCAUAGAUAUCACGAGGAACUCCGAUUCCGCAGGCAGCUUACUAAACUACUACUGACGCUCAGGCACGAAGGCGUGGGGAUCAAACAGGAUUAGAUACCCUGGUAGUCCACGCAGUAAACGAUGAUUACUAGUUGUUUGCGAUACAAUGUAAGCGGCUGAGCGAAAGCGUUAAGUAAUCCACCUGGGGAGUACGUUCGCAAGAAUGAAACUCAAAUGAAUUGACGGG
This 392-nucleotide ribosomal RNA is filed under the name uncultured bacterium. Its description in RNAcentral is "partial 16S ribosomal RNA". It matches the Rfam family "Bacterial small subunit ribosomal RNA", at positions 523 to 917 of the family's 1533-position model. The record is from RNAcentral.